GAGUUUGAUCAUGGCUCAGGAUGAACGCUGGCGGCGUGCCUAACACAUGCAAGUCGAACGGGCGAAUUAUAUCGGAGGUCUUCGGGCCGAAGAGAUAAUAAGCUAGUGGCGGACGGGUGCGUAACGUGUGGGUAAUCUGCCUUUGUCAUAGGAAUAACUGCUUGAAAAAGUAGCUAAUACCAAAUAACAUAUCGUAUAGGCAUCUAUAAGAUAUCAAAGAGAAAUCGGACAAAGAUGAGCCCGCAUCUGAUUAGCUGGUUGGUAGGGUAAAAGCCUACCAAGGCGACGAUCAGUAGCCGGCCUGAGAGGGUGAACGGCCACAUUGGAACUGAGACACGGUCCAAACUCCUACGGGAGGCAGCAGUGGGGAAUAUUGCACAAUGGGGGGAACCCUGAUGCAGCAACGCCGCGUGAGUGAAGAAGGCUUUCGAGUCGUAAAACUCUGUUGUAAGGGAAGAUAAUGACG
RNAcentral lists this ribosomal RNA (466 nucleotides) under Filifactor villosus. Its description in RNAcentral is "bacterial SSU rRNA". It matches the Rfam family "Bacterial small subunit ribosomal RNA", at positions 9 to 456 of the family's 1533-position model. Lineage: Bacteria; Bacillati; Bacillota; Clostridia; Peptostreptococcales; Filifactoraceae. The record is from RNAcentral.